GCCGACGUGGCUCAAUUGGCAGAGCAACUGAUUUGUAAUCAGUAGGUUGUAGGUUCGAGUCCUAUCGUCGGCACCA
Molecule: transfer RNA, 76 nt
Filed under: Tenericutes bacterium ADurb.Bin024
Lineage: Bacteria; Bacillati; Mycoplasmatota
Also listed under: 4 other names
Description: tRNA-Thr
Rfam family: tRNA
About the family: Transfer RNA (tRNA) molecules are approximately 80 nucleotides in length. Their secondary structure includes four short double-helical elements and three loops (D, anti-codon, and T loops).
Source: RNAcentral